GAAAGAGGAGGAGACUGAAAAUCCGAUUAACACCAGAGAGAGACAUGACUAUGGUGGAUCCUCUGGGGAGCCUCAACAACAUCCUGAUGCUGACGAAGCAGAGAAGAGUCUCUCCAGAUCAGAACAGCAGAUGGACAACGCUAGCCCCUCCUCCCUCCUGGAGUCCCCAUGUCGUGUCUCUCCCAAUAGCACCUUACUGCUGGGUAUGAAGAGGUUGUCUGUGCUGCUGGUGGACUGCAGGAAAACAACAGGGCUGAGUGGAACUGUGAGAGGAGGAGAAGAGAAGAAAGGAUCAGAUUUGACACAUCAAAGUAAGUGCUGUAGUUUAGUUUGAACAAAUACAAUAGAUCUGCCCACUGGUAUCUGUUACCAGGACAACCAGCAGAGUUCUGUUAGUUGACAUGAAGAUGGACUGGUAUCUGUUACCAGGACAACCAGCAGAGUUCUGUUAGUUGACAGGAAGGUGGACUGGUAUCUGUUACCAGGACAACCAGCAGAGUUCUGUUAGUUGACAGGAAGAUGGACUGGUAUCUGUUACCAGGACAACCAGCAGAGUUCUGUUAGUUGACAGGAAGAUAGACUGGUGGAUAUGGAUGUUAUGAAUAUCAUAACACUGAAAAAGGAUUCUGCCAAUGAAAAGAGAGAAACCAAUAGACCAUAUAAAACCUUGAUGAAAGUUAGCUUUAGAGAGAAACCAAUAGACCAUAUAAAACCUUGAUGAAAGU
Oncorhynchus keta (chum salmon) is the source of this 725-nucleotide long non-coding RNA. RefSeq lists it as uncharacterized. The transcript is spliced from 3 exons. The record is from RefSeq and is a predicted model, not a curated record. Lineage: Eukaryota; Metazoa; Chordata; Actinopteri; Salmoniformes; Salmonidae.